UUAGCUUGAAUUCCAAUUCUAUACAAGCUUGUCAGGGGCAAGAAUGUAUGUGUGAAGUCUAUUAUAACUUGUAGGUAUAGUAAGUAUAUAGUACGUAUUUCAAUAGUUUUAAUUUGUUGGAUGGGAGUAUCAACAUAAAAAAAAUAGUAGGAUGGGAAUAAUUUAAGGAGUAGGAGGGGAUCUAGGCAAGGCCUACGAUAAAUGCCAUUAUUAAUUAAUAUAAAGCCCGUCGAUUAAGAUGGUACUAAUCAUGACUGAGCUUUGUCAAAUACUUUUAUCCUUAAAAAACUACAUUAAUUCUAGUUAAGAUAAGAUGAUGAAAUAAAGAAGGUACCUAGAAACACAUAGACACGCGGAUACGUACAUCUUUAUAGAGAGAGAGGCAUUAGGCAUAUACCCUACAUGUGGGAAUGAUUUGGGGACAAAGCAAGGAAAGCAUAGUGGUGCAAACAAUUCACAUGGGGGCAUAACAUGAUCCUUCACAAGAGGCCUCUCUUUUUCUUCUCUUUCACAGCUCAUGCCCCAAAUCCCACGUCCAAAAACAAUUAUGCUUAUCUUAAUUACUGUAUGUAGCUAGCUUUUAAUGAAAUGAUUAAUGAGACACGUUGCACCCCAUGCAUAACCACUACAGCAUUAUAAAUAAUCUCAUGCACAUGGCCUUUGUUCUCCUCUCUCUCAGAUAAAGAUCACGAUGACCCGUUUGGUUUAACCAAUCACUAACCCCCUCUAGUGGGGUUGUCUUAGACAAAAU
Molecule: long non-coding RNA, 751 nt
Filed under: Glycine max (soybean)
Lineage: Eukaryota; Viridiplantae; Streptophyta; Magnoliopsida; Fabales; Fabaceae
Description: long non-coding RNA (GMAX_LNC002728)
Source: RNAcentral